Long non-coding RNA from Hippopotamus amphibius kiboko, 1475 nucleotides. RefSeq lists it as uncharacterized. The record is from RefSeq and is a predicted model, not a curated record. Lineage: Eukaryota; Metazoa; Chordata; Mammalia; Artiodactyla; Hippopotamidae. The transcript has 3 exons.
GCAGCCCUUGGGGACUCUGGGCAGCGGGCGCGUGGACUCCGCAGCCAGAGUGAGCAGAAGCCACAGGCUUCCAGGAUGCGGGAGCGGAGGCUGACGGAGAGCCGGGAAGCGGCGGCAGGGACUCCAGCACAAGAGGGCUGUCCCCGCGUCCCGACCGCCACAGCCUGCUUGUUAUCCAGGAAGAUGUGUGGAAGCUGCCAUUUGCUUUCUCCCUGAUGGCUGCUGAGCCUAGAGAGGCAGCGUGGACACCAUGGACACUCACCUUAAGAUAGUGCUACUGAGACAUGUUAUCAGCAGCUCCUGCCCCAGCCUCAGACCCAGUCACGACAAGUACGGCUGCUGCGUGGAGCACGUCUCCUGAGCCCCUCAGGAAAUUCAGAGAGCCUCUCAGAGAACAAAGCUUUGGAUUGGACUAUAGCUUCGUCUGUGACUCUCUUUUUGCUGGCAAACUAUGGUGUUGGUUGAAACAAGAAGGUGCAAACCAUAAUCCAGUCACAAAGGCCAAAGGUUGAGGAAGAGGUUGCCAUUUCUCCAUCCUUUUUACCACUCAAGGGUCUGCCUCCCGAAUCCUUGUUAGAGUUGUUGGUACCUUGGCUUUAUACACAUACCCUGGUGUUUGAGUGCAUGUACUGGUGCUCAUAGCAGGGGUUUGAAGUUAGUGGUUCUGCUAUGCCCUAGCUGUCUGACUUCGGCAUUCAGUAAAUCUCUCUGAGCCUCAACUUUCUCACCUGUAUGAUGGGAGUAGUCAUGUCUGUCCUCCUUGUCUGGUCAAAUAAAAUCUCAGCUUUGUAAAUCUGAAACCUUAGGGCCCCAUACCUGGGUAGGAAGCUUGCAUGUUAUUUAACACAGCUUUUGUCUGCUGCAGGUGACCAUCCCUUACCAGCAUCCUGAGCAAAUAUUCCCCCAGCUUCAGACUGAACUCUAACUGAGCUCAGACAGGAGGAGCUCACCUCCUCAGGAGCUCAGGUAGUUAGAAAGUUCUUCAUUGUGUCAGGCUGAAAUCUGAACUCUCCAGUAACUUUUGCCUGCUGGUUUCUGUUUCAUCUCUGGAUCCAGCAUUUAAUCGCAAAGUCUUCUGUGUAUUAAAGACUUCUGUAAAAAAAAAAUACAGUCAAUUAUUUCAACUGGGUAUCAAGUCAUCUUUUCAGCUCCUUUGCUUGCUCUUCCCUUGGGGUUCUGAUCUGGAUUGACUGCAUGGGACAGAACAUGGUGCCAGGUGUUCCUGAACAUUCUCAAGGGUCCUUGUGGCAUCGGUUAUAAAACUUUUCCUGGUGAUCCCUAGAAGCAAGUCUGAUUAUUACUAAUGAUAGGUAUCCCCUACACAUAGUGAAUCUAUUCAAAUCCUAGAGCCAUAAUUGGAAAGGCAUGUUUCUUAACAUGCUUUAAAUUAUUUUAACUUGAAAGUAAUUUUCCCCUCUAUUACAUUGGAUUAUUUUUUUAUUCUGAAAAAUAAUAAAGAUGCAUUAAAUUUAAUA